CCAGACUCCUACGGGAGGCAGCAGUGGGGGAUAUUGCACAAUGGGGGAAACCCUGAUGCAGCGACGCCGCGUGGGUGAAGAAGUAUUUCGGUAUGUAAAGCCCUAUCAGCAGGGAAGAAAGAAGACGGUACCUGACUAAGAAGCCCCGGCUAACUACGUGCCAGCAGCCGCGGUAAUACGUAGGGGGCGAGCGUUAUCCGGAUUCACUGGGUGUAAAGGGAGCGUAGACGGCCGUGCAAGCCAGGAGUGAAAGCCCGGGGCCCAACCCCGGGACUGCUCUUGGAACUGUGCGGCUGGAGUGCGGGAGGGGCAGGCGGAAUUCCUGGUGUAGCGGUGAAAUGCGUAGAUAUUAGGAGGAACACCAGUGGCGAAGGCGGCUUACUGGACUGUAACUGACGUUGAGGCUCGAAAGCGUGGGGAGCAAACAGGAUUAGAUACCCCGGUA
This 445-nucleotide ribosomal RNA is filed under the name uncultured bacterium. RNAcentral's name for it is "bacterial SSU rRNA". It matches the Rfam family "Bacterial small subunit ribosomal RNA", at positions 331 to 792 of the family's 1533-position model. The record is from RNAcentral.